RNAcentral lists this ribosomal RNA (425 nucleotides) under uncultured bacterium. Its description in RNAcentral is "partial 16S ribosomal RNA". It matches the Rfam family "Bacterial small subunit ribosomal RNA", at positions 354 to 796 of the family's 1533-position model. The record is from RNAcentral.
GUGGGGAAUAUUGGACAAUGGGCGCAAGCCUGAUCCAGCAAUGCCGCGUGGGUGAAGAAGGUCUUCGGAUCGUAAAGCCCUUUCGACAGGGACGAUGAUGACGGUACCUGUAGAAGAAGCCCCGGCUAACUUCGUGCCAGCAGCCGCGGUAAUACGAAGGGGGCUAGCGUUACUCGGAAUUACUGGGCGUAAAGGGAGCGUAGGCGGCUCUGUUAGUCAGGCGUGAAAUUCCUGGGCUUGACCUGGGGACUGCGCGUGAUACUGCAGGGCUUGAGGCCGAGAGAGGGUGGUGGAAUUCCCAGUGUAGAGGUGAAAUUCGUAGAUAUUGGGAAGAACACCGGUGGCGAAGGCGACCACCUGGCUCGGUUCUGACGCUGAGGCGCGACAGCGUGGGGAGCAAACAGGAUUAGAUACCCUGGUAGUCC